GACGAACGCUGGCGGCGUGCUUAACACAUGCAAGUCGAGCGAGAAACUUCGGUUUCUAGCGGCGGACGGGUGAGUAACACGUGGGCAACCUGCCUCACAAUGGGGGAUAGCCUUCCGAAAGGAAGAUUAAUACCGCAUAACACAAAGGAAACGCAUGUUUCUUUUUCCAAAGAAUUUCGUUGUGAGAUGGGCCCGCGGCGCAUUAGCUUGUUGGUGAGGUAACGGCUCACCAAGGCGACGAUGCGUAGCCGACCUGAGAGGGUGAUCGGCCACAUUGGAACUGAGACACGGUCCAGACUCCUACGGGAGGCAGCAGUGGGGAAUAUUGCACAAUGGAGGAAACUCUGAUGCAGCAACGCCGCGUGAGUGAUGAAGGUCUUCGGAUUGUAAAGCUCUGUCUUCUGGGACGAUAAUGACGGUACCAGAGGAGGAAGCCACGGCUAACUACGUGCCAGCAGCCGCCGUAA
This 467-nucleotide ribosomal RNA is filed under the name uncultured bacterium. RNAcentral describes it as "partial 16S ribosomal RNA". It matches the Rfam family "Bacterial small subunit ribosomal RNA", at positions 28 to 523 of the family's 1533-position model. The record is from RNAcentral.